Molecule: long non-coding RNA, 1782 nt
Filed under: Canis lupus familiaris (dog)
Lineage: Eukaryota; Metazoa; Chordata; Mammalia; Carnivora; Canidae
Description: lncRNA (ENSCAFG00040009347.1)
Source: RNAcentral
AUGGGAUGCCCUCCUCAUCCCCCCAGGGCUGCCCAGACCCCAGCCCCGAGACCGGGCGCACGGCGGCGGGUUUCCCGGUGGUACGUGAUCCUGUGGCGAGGACCCCGUUCCAUGGAAGCUGGAGGGACCUCACCGAGAAGACACACGAGCGCGCACAUCCAAACACACACGUACGAGCAUGCACACGCACAUCGCGCCCUAAGUAGGUUAGAGGACCUCCGGGUGCCCCCCCCGACACACACAGGCGCGCGCACACGCCGCUGCACACGCAGGCUCACACACUCACACACACUCACACACGCACACGGCGGCACAUCAAGUUCCCAGCGCGGCGCACACGUCGGGAGCGCGCGGGGGGCGCACACGCCGCUGCUGGGGCCCGCGUCUGACCCCGGGGGCGCGGGGGGCGCGGGGGGCGCGGCGGGGGCGCCCCAAGGGCGGCGGGGCCGCGGGGCUCGGGCAGGGGCCCCGGGCAGGGGCUGCGCGGCGCCGCCUUACCUGGACUCAGCGCCCGGCCCCGGCGUUGAGCUGCGGGAGGACGCCCGUCAUUCGGCUCGCGGGGAACUUGGGAGAGCGCGGCGGCCAGCGCGCAUUCCGGGAGCGGCGCGGGGACUGCGGGCGCGCGGGGACCUGGCUCCCGGCAGCCUGGCUCAUGCUCAGCCGUCAAGUCCCCUUCGGCGGCCCCGAGCGCGGAGGCAGGGAUCCCGGCCCCGGGGGCGGUCGCUCCUCCCCCGGCCUCCCGGCUCCCCGGCUCCCCGGCGCUCGCCCGCCUGCCCCCCGCGCGCGAUGGGCUCGCAGCCGUGGGGACCCGGAGCCAGGCGGCGGCGACUGUACCGGGGAGUCCGCGAGCGCCGCGGUGUCGGGGCGGGGAGCCGGGGGCCGGGCUGCGCGGGGGGCGGGGCCUGGCCGGGCGGGCGGCGGGGACUGGGGAGCGGCGCAGGGCGGGGGCGGGGCGGGGGCGGGGGGCGGAGCGCGCGGCCCGGCCCCGCGGAGGAGGGUUUUGUACAGCUUCAGGCGGAGGAGGACGAGGAGGAGGAGGAGGAGGAGGAGGAAAGGAGAGGGGAUGGAGAGGGGCGGGGGGGGUGGGAGAGGGGAUGGAGAGGGGCAGAAGGGGGGAGGAGGGGGAGAGGGGAUGAAGAGGGGCAGAAGGGGGAGAGGGGAUGGAGAGGGGGAGAGGGGAUGGAGGGGGGAGAGGGGAUGGAGAGGGGCAGAAGGGGGAGAGGCAGAGAGAGAGAGAGGGGAUGGAGAGGGGCAGAGGGGGGAGAGGCAGAGGGGGAGAGAGGGGAUGGAGAGGGGCAGAGGGGGAGGAGACGGGGAGAGGGGCAGAGAGGGAGAGGGGCAGGGGGCAGAGGGGCAGAGGGAGACAGGAGGUGGAGGGAGGGAGGGGGGAGAGGGAGGAAGAGGGGGACAGGGGGAGACAGGAACAGAGGGAGGAGAGGGGCAGAGGGGAAGAGGGGAUGGAGAGAGGGGGGAGAGAGGGGCAGAGGGGGACGGGGAGGAGACAGGGGCAGGCCCUCUCCCUCUCCGAGGGAGGGAGGGGCGGCUGGGGGGCGCCAGGCCGAGCCCCUGGGGAGCCUCUGGGCCUGCAGACUGGGUGGCGCUGCCCCGGGGACGUGUGCACAAACCCCGCAGCGAGCUGCCCCCCAGGGCGCGGGCGCCGGAGCCGGAGCCUUCCUGGGUACGCGGGUGCCAGGGCGUCUGUGCGCCUCUGCGAGUGUGGUGUUGUCUGGGGAGGUGCCUGUGUGGGUCCGUGUGUAUCCGGGGGCCUCUCUGAGUCUUUAA